Molecule: long non-coding RNA, 989 nt
Organism: Homo sapiens (human)
Lineage: Eukaryota; Metazoa; Chordata; Mammalia; Primates; Hominidae
Gene: TAGAP-AS1
Product: TAGAP antisense RNA 1
Source: Ensembl
CAGGCUGUACAGGAGGCAUGGCUGGGGAGGCCUCAGAAAACUUACAAUCAUGGCAGAAGGUGAAGGGGAAGCCAGCACAUCUUCAUAUGAUGGCAGGGCCUCGAUUCUGUCCUCCUCGUCCUGCAUCUCCAGAGCACCCAUCCACUCCUCAAAGAGGGUGCUCUAUGCUUAGCCCAUCAUAGAUUGUGGCCCUUCAUUCCUGCAUUUGAUGAAUCCAGGGAACCCUCUCUCCAACACCCUUGGCCUCUCUGCAACUUUCUAACAUCAGGCAGAGUCAGAGGCACCAUCCCCAGAAGCUACAAAUCUUCAGCAUUCUCCACUCUGUGAAGUCAGAGGAAUGGCGGGACCAUAGCUCUGAGCUCAUUGGCAAAUACAACUAAUUUCAAUUUCUGGAAUGGAAGCAGUCAGAUAUUCUUCUGACUGCACGCGUAUGUGGGAGUGCCAUGUUGAAGAGUGGAAAAUAUGGAAGAUCAGUCCCUACAAACUUAAUAGGAGAAUGACAUUCAGAUUUCCCGAGUAUUUUGCAUGUCCAACUGAAAACUGAAGUAGGUUUAUGAGAGAAUGCACGCCUACCUGGAUGGGUCUGGGGAGUGUGUCACUGUCACCGCAGAUAAUUGACAAGGGCUGAUCAAAUAGCGAUGCUUUCAAGUCUGUCUCCAAAGCCCCAGAAAAAUCUGAUGCAGGGGAGAGCCUUCUCAUGAGAAAGGGCCAGGACAGCACCUUCUUUCUCUUCUUAACUUCUACAGCCAAGAAAACAAGGCAACGAGAAAAAUUAGACUACAGUGUUAAGAAGCAAAGAUCCAGGUAAGAAAAUGGGUAUCGUUGGCCGCAUAAUGUGGUCAAUAGUAUGCGAUGUGAGAAAAAUAAUUUUGAAAACUUGAGAAAGCAAAGGGCGUGAAUCUUAAUCUAGAAAAACCAACCGAUAAACAACCACACUGUUACCAGGGCAACCAGUUCCCUAAACAGCAACACCAGAGUUCCUCAAGGCC